UACAGAGGUCUCAAGCGUUGUUCGGAAUUACUGGGCGUAAAGGGCGCGUAGGCGGCCUGUUAAGUCGGACGUGAAAUCCCUCGGCUCAACCGGGGAACUGCGUCCGAAACUGGCGGGCUUGAAUUCGGGAGAGGGAUGUGGAAUUCCAGGUGUAGCGGUGAAAUGCGUAGAUAUCUGGAGGAACACCGGUGGCGAAGGCGGCAUCCUGGACCGACAUUGACGCUGAGGCGCGAAAGCUAGGGGAGCAAACGGG
Molecule: ribosomal RNA, 253 nt
Filed under: uncultured bacterium
Lineage: Bacteria
Description: partial 16S ribosomal RNA
Rfam family: Bacterial small subunit ribosomal RNA
Source: RNAcentral